GUCCCGCCCGGAGCGGGCGCGAGUCCGGGGCGCCCGGGCCGCGGCGCGGGGCGGCGGCAGGGGCCUGGCGGAGGCCGCCGGGCGGCCGCCAUGCGAUCAGGCAGUGCGCUGACCGGCCCGGCCGGUCGGCCCCUUCUGGGUCCUCCCUUUGCAGCCCGUGCGGGGCCGUCUCGGAGACCCCGCGCCGACGGCUGCUCAAACAUCAGGGGAAUCUUCUCAACCCAGGGAUUGAACCUGCAACUCCUUCAUUAGCAGGCGGAUUCUUUACCACUGAGCCACCGGGGAAGCCCUUCCAUAAAGCAUGUGGGAUCUUGGUUCCCCCGCCCCCUGCAUUGGAAGGCAGAGUCUUAACCACUGGACCGCCAGAGAAGUUCCCCCUUGCUUCAAAUUGUGAACAGCUGAAUCGAGAUAGAGUGCACGCACCACAGAAUCCCCCCAUUUAAGGAGUAUGAUUCAUUGGUGUUUCGUACGUUCACAGAGCUGUGCAGCCGUCCCCAAUCUGGUUCCAGAACGUUUUCAUCCUCCCUAAUAGAAACCCCAGUUCCCUUAGUUGCUGACCAUUUCCCCUGCCCUCCAGCCCCUGGGAACCCCUAAUCUGCGCUCUGCCUCUUACAGGCUUGCCUCUUCUGGACGUUUUAUAUAAACAGAACCCACCACUGUGCGGC
Long non-coding RNA from Bos taurus (domestic cattle), 665 nucleotides. NCBI's taxonomy places the organism in Eukaryota, Metazoa, Chordata, Mammalia, Artiodactyla, Bovidae. The record is from Ensembl.